RNAcentral lists this ribosomal RNA (1578 nucleotides) under Lacticaseibacillus paracasei. RNAcentral's name for it is "bacterial SSU rRNA". It matches the Rfam family "Bacterial small subunit ribosomal RNA". The record is from RNAcentral. Lineage: Bacteria; Bacillati; Bacillota; Bacilli; Lactobacillales; Lactobacillaceae.
UUUAUAUGAGAGUUUGAUCCUGGCUCAGGAUGAACGCUGGCGGCGUGCCUAAUACAUGCAAGUCGAACGAGUUCUCGUUGAAUCUCGGUGCUUGCACCGAGAUUCAACAUGGAACGAGUGGCGGACGGGUGAGUAACACGUGGGUAACCUGCCCUUAAGUGGGGGAUAACAUUUGGAAACAGAUGCUAAUACCGCAUAGAUCCAAGAACCGCAUGGUUCUUGGCUGAAAGAUGGCGUAAGCUAUCGCUUUUGGAUGGACCCGCGGCGUAUUAGCUAGUUGGUGAGGUAAUGGCUCACCAAGGCGAUGAUACGUAGCCGAACUGAGAGGUUGAUCGGCCACAUUGGGACUGAGACACGGCCCAAACUCCUACGGGAGGCAGCAGUAGGGAAUCUUCCACAAUGGACGCAAGUCUGAUGGAGCAACGCCGCGUGAGUGAAGAAGGCUUUCGGGUCGUAAAACUCUGUUGUUGGAGAAGAAUGGUCGGCAGAGUAACUGUUGUCGGCGUGACGGUAUCCAACCAGAAAGCCACGGCUAACUACGUGCCAGCAGCCGCGGUAAUACGUAGGUGGCAAGCGUUAUCCGGAUUUAUUGGGCGUAAAGCGAGCGCAGGCGGUUUUUUAAGUCUGAUGUGAAAGCCCUCGGCUUAACCGAGGAAGCGCAUCGGAAACUGGGAAACUUGAGUGCAGAAGAGGACAGUGGAACUCCAUGUGUAGCGGUGAAAUGCGUAGAUAUAUGGAAGAACACCAGUGGCGAAGGCGGCUGUCUGGUCUGUAACUGACGCUGAGGCUCGAAAGCAUGGGUAGCGAACAGGAUUAGAUACCCUGGUAGUCCAUGCCGUAAACGAUGAAUGCUAGGUGUUGGAGGGUUUCCGCCCUUCAGUGCCGCAGCUAACGCAUUAAGCAUUCCGCCUGGGGAGUACGACCGCAAGGUUGAAACUCAAAGGAAUUGACGGGGGCCCGCACAAGCGGUGGAGCAUGUGGUUUAAUUCGAAGCAACGCGAAGAACCUUACCAGGUCUUGACAUCUUUUGAUCACCUGAGAGAUCAGGUUUCCCCUUCGGGGCAAAAUGACAGGUGGUGCAUGGUUGUCGUCAGCUCGUGUCGUGAGAUGUUGGGUUAAGUCCCGCAACGAGCGCAACCCUUAUGACUAGUUGCCAGCAUUUAGUUGGGCACUCUAGUAAGACUGCCGGUGACAAACCGGAGGAAGGUGGGGAUGACGUCAAAUCAUCAUGCCCCUUAUGACCUGGGCUACACACGUGCUACAAUGGAUGGUACAACGAGUUGCGAGACCGCGAGGUCAAGCUAAUCUCUUAAAGCCAUUCUCAGUUCGGACUGUAGGCUGCAACUCGCCUACACGAAGUCGGAAUCGCUAGUAAUCGCGGAUCAGCACGCCGCGGUGAAUACGUUCCCGGGCCUUGUACACACCGCCCGUCACACCAUGAGAGUUUGUAACACCCGAAGCCGGUGGCGUAACCCUUUUAGGGAGCGAGCCGUCUAAGGUGGGACAAAUGAUUAGGGUGAAGUCGUAACAAGGUAGCCGUAGGAGAACCUGCGGCUGGAUCACCUCCUUUCUAAGGAA